UACAGAGGUCUCAAGCGUUGUUCGGAUUCAUUGGGCGUAAAGGGUGCGUAGGUGGCGCUGUAAGUCGGGUGUGAAAUUUCGGAGCUUAACUCCGAAACUGCAUUCGAUACUGCGGUGCUUGAGGACUGGAGAGGAGACUGGAAUUCAUGGUGUAGCAGUGAAAUGCGUAGAGAUCAUGAGGAAGACCAGUGGCGAAGGCGGCUUUCUGGACAUUUACUGACGCUGAGACGCGAAAGCGUGGGGAGCAAACAGG
RNAcentral lists this ribosomal RNA (253 nucleotides) under uncultured bacterium. RNAcentral describes it as "partial 16S ribosomal RNA". It matches the Rfam family "Bacterial small subunit ribosomal RNA", at positions 524 to 776 of the family's 1533-position model. The record is from RNAcentral.